Molecule: ribosomal RNA, 497 nt
Filed under: uncultured bacterium
Lineage: Bacteria
Description: partial 16S ribosomal RNA
Rfam family: Bacterial small subunit ribosomal RNA
Source: RNAcentral
GAUGAACGCUGGCGGCGUGCCUAAUACAUGCAAGUCGAGCGAACGGACGAGAAGCUUGCUUCUCUGAUGUUAGCGGCGGACGGGUGAGUAACACGUGGAUAACCUACCUAUAAGACUGGGAUAACUUCGGGAAACCGGAGCUAAUACCGGAUGAUAUUUUGAACCGCAUGGUUCAAAAGUGAAAGACGGUCUUGCUGUCACUUAUAGAUGGAUCCGCGCUGCAUUAGCUAGUUGGUAAGGUAACGGCUUACCAAGGCAACAAUGCAUAGCCGACCUGAGAGGGUGAUCGGCCACACUGGAACUGAGACACGGUCCAGACUCCUACGGGAGGCAGCAGUAGGGAAUCUUCCGCAAAGGGCGAAAGCCUGACGGAGCAACGCCGCGUGAGUGAUGAAGGUCUUCGGAUCGUAAAACUCUGUUAUUAGGGAAGAACAUAUGUGUAAGUAACUGUGCACAUCUUGACGGUACCUAAUCAGAAAGCCACGGCUAACUACGUG